UACGUAGGGGGCGAGCGUUGUCCGGAUUUAUUGGGCGUAAAGAGCUCGUAGGCGGUUCGGUAAGUCAGAUGUAAAAACUCCAGGCUCAACUUGGAGAGGCCAUCUGAUACUGCCGUGACUAGAGUCCGGUAGAGGAGCACGGAAUUCCUGGUGUAGCGGUGAAAUGCGCAGAUAUCAGGAGGAACACCGGUGGCGAAGGCGGGUCUCUGGGCAGUAACUGACGCUGAGGAGCGAAAGCGUGGGGAGCGAACAGG
Molecule: ribosomal RNA, 254 nt
Filed under: uncultured bacterium
Lineage: Bacteria
Description: partial 16S ribosomal RNA
Rfam family: Bacterial small subunit ribosomal RNA
Source: RNAcentral